RNAcentral lists this unclassified non-coding RNA (960 nucleotides) under Athalia rosae (coleseed sawfly). RNAcentral describes it as "misc RNA ENSAEAG00005003638.1". Lineage: Eukaryota; Metazoa; Arthropoda; Insecta; Hymenoptera; Athaliidae. The record is from RNAcentral.
AGGAAGUGUACCAGUUUAGUCAUUGAAAGGUAAAAAAUUUUUUUCUUGCAAACAUCAUGCCCGUACGAAUAUAGUGAAGUCGAAAGAAACAUGAUAACAUCAUCCGGAUACUUACUUGCUGGAUCAAUUCAAUUAUUAUGUCACAUCUUUGAAAUAUGUGAUCAUUGAGAUGAGAAAGUAAAGUCAAAUAAAUUUUGUUUGUAUUGAGAUAACGAUUGAAAAAAUCACUCUAAAGAUUACUAUAUCAAUUUCAGCGCUGUAAAUUCAAAAACAUUGAAUACUGCAAGACAUGCUAACUCAAUCGCUUGUUGAUCAUCUUCAAGAUCAAUGGGGGUACCAGAAUCACCACUGCUCGAGCUGGAGGUACUAUGGCGACGUGAGCCCAGCUAUGCCAUGCAAUGUUAGCCAAGCCAUCAAAAUUAAUUACAAAUGAACAGAAAUAAUUAUCACAAAACGAUUUGGAAGUUGAAUAACAUUUACGUUGUUAUCAUUAACUGAACGAUCAACGAACAAAAUAAACGGUAGUAUGAUCUUGGGAUAAUUUUAAUUAGCGAAUCUUAUGAGCAAUGAGCAUUACAUUAUUGCCUGAUACUGAUGAUUACUGGAGUAACUGCUUUUAUCUUCAAAUGAUCAAAACACAUUGUAUGCAUGAAUUACAAAACUAGUGUCAGUAUUCAUUUAGGCAUCAUUUUAUUAACGUGACAUUUGAGCUUUGAGUAAUUUGUGAAAUAAUAAAAUGGCUAUAGUAAUGCGUGUAGCAUUAACUGUCGUUUAGCACAACAGAUGCACAUGCCUAAUCAAAUAUUGCAAAAUCAAGACAAAAAAGAAUAAUGAAUCUGAUGCAUUACCUGUUCUCCUGAAAGAACGUGACUGGUAGUUCUGACUUCUUGAGUAACAACACGUUGCUCUUGCCACGUUGCACUAGUGGCAGUUGUGUGUGCUACUGUCUUUUCUUCCACC